GCUGUGAGGGUUUGAGGUCGAGCUGCCUGCAGCACAGGAUGCUGCUCACUUGCAACUUUAGCUGCUGCUUGACCGGCAUGGCAGGAUGGAAACUGCGCUUUGUUCUGCUUCUGACGCUCUCAGUGGGGUUUGGCAGCGAAGUGACCGUGAAAACCAUUGGGAGAGAACCAGACGCCACUCCGAUAUGCAGCAAUACGACAGAGAACAUCGUCACACUCUUAGUGUGUAAGAUCCACAGGGAGAGGAACGGAGAAGAGUGUCUUCUGCUGUAUAGAUAUGGAGGAGGAGACCCCAAUGAGAACACAUGUGACUCCAGGUUCACUCUCAUGACGGAGAACCACACUGUGUUUCUCCACCUGACCAGUUUAACACCAGUGGACAGUGGGAACUACACCUGCGAGUGUUCCCAUGCUGAUGGGAUGGAUGUUCUCAAUCUGAGUAUCACCGUGGAAGAGGGAGACGCCAGGCGGUCAACACACCAGCUGAUUGUAAUCGGGUUGAUCGGGGCCACAAUAGUCAUUUCUAUAACUGCAGUUAUCUUCGGGUUUCUUUACAGAGGAAUACGUCAAAGGUGAGAGAAUACUUGUAAUACUCACAACUAUUUAAUAACUUGACAGCAUUGGGUCGGUUGAAGUAAUGAAGGAAG
Molecule: long non-coding RNA, 646 nt
Organism: Cyclopterus lumpus (lumpfish)
Lineage: Eukaryota; Metazoa; Chordata; Actinopteri; Perciformes; Cyclopteridae
Source: Ensembl